RNAcentral lists this ribosomal RNA (573 nucleotides) under Salmonella enterica subsp. enterica serovar Vitkin. RNAcentral's name for it is "partial 23S ribosomal RNA". It matches the Rfam family "Bacterial large subunit ribosomal RNA", at positions 700 to 1269 of the family's 2925-position model. The record is from RNAcentral. Lineage: Bacteria; Pseudomonadati; Pseudomonadota; Gammaproteobacteria; Enterobacterales; Enterobacteriaceae.
UUGCAGGGUAUAGACCCGAAACCCGGUGAUCUAGCCAUGGGCAGGUUGAAGGUUGGGUAACACUAACUGGAGGACCGAACCGACUAAUGUUGAAAAAUUAGCGGAUGACCUGUGGCUGGGGGUGAAAGGCCAAUCAAACCGGGAGAUAGCUGGUUCUCCCCGAAAGCUAUUUAGGUAGCGCCUCGUGAAUUCAUCUCCGGGGGUAGAGCACUGUUUCGGCUAGGGGGCCAUCCCGGCUUACCAACCCGAUGCAAACUGCGAAUACCGGAGAAUGUUAUCACGGGAGACACACGGCGGGUGCUAACGUCCGUCGUGAAGAGGGAAACAACCCAGACCGCCAGCUAAGGUCCCAAAGUCAUGGUUAAGUGGGAAACGAUGUGGGAAGGCCCAGACAGCCAGGAUGUUGGCUUAGAAGCAGCCAUCAUUUAAAGAAAGCGUAAUAGCUCACUGGUCGAGUCGGCCUGCGCGGAAGAUGUAACGGGGCUAAACCAUGCACCGAAGCUGCGGCAGCGACGCUGAUGCGUUGUUGGGUAGGGGAGCGUUCUGUAAGCCUGCGAAGGUGUGUCGUGAGGC